AAGGUUGGCUAAUCCUGGUCGGACAUCAGGAGGUUAGUGCAAUGGCAUAAGCCAGCUUGACUGCGAGCGUGACGGCGCGAGCAGGUGCGAAAGCAGGUCAUAGUGAUCCGGUGGUUCUGAAUGGAAGGGCCAUCGCUCAACGGAUAAAAGGUACUCCGGGGAUAACAGGCUGAUACCGCCCAAGAGUUCAUAUCGACGGCGGUGUUUGGCACCUCGAUGUCGGCUCAUCACAUCCUGGGGCUGAAGUAGGUCCCAAGGGUAUGGCUGUUCGCCAUUUAAAGUGGUACGCGAGCUGGGUUUAGAACGUCGUGAGACAGUUCGGUCCCUAUCUGCCGUGGGCGCUGGAGAACUGAGGGGGGCUGCUCCCAGUACGAGAGGACCGGAGUGGACGCAUCACUGGUGUUCGGGUUGUCAUGCCAAUGGCACUGCCCGGUAGCUAAAUGCGGAAGAGAUAAGUGCUGAAAGCAUCUAAGCACGAAACUUGCCCC
This 488-nucleotide ribosomal RNA is filed under the name Salmonella enterica subsp. enterica. Its description in RNAcentral is "partial 23S ribosomal RNA". It matches the Rfam family "Bacterial large subunit ribosomal RNA", at positions 2313 to 2800 of the family's 2925-position model. The record is from RNAcentral. Lineage: Bacteria; Pseudomonadati; Pseudomonadota; Gammaproteobacteria; Enterobacterales; Enterobacteriaceae.